This 440-nucleotide ribosomal RNA is filed under the name uncultured bacterium. RNAcentral describes it as "partial 16S ribosomal RNA". It matches the Rfam family "Bacterial small subunit ribosomal RNA", at positions 338 to 795 of the family's 1533-position model. The record is from RNAcentral.
CCUACGGGUGGCAGCAGUGGGGGAUAUUGCACAAUGGGGGAAACCCUGAUGCAGCGACGCCGCGUGAGUGAAGAAGUAUUUCGGUAUGUAACGAUCUAUCAGCAGGGAAGAAAAUGAAAGUACCUGACCAAGAAGCACCGGCUAACUACGUGCCAGCAGCCGCGGUCAUACGUAGGUGGCAAGCGUUCUCCGGAUUUACUGGGUGUAAAGGGAGAGUAGACGGUUGUGUAAGUCUGGAGUGAAAGCCCGGGGCCCAACCCCGGGACUGCUUUGGAAAGUGUGUGAGUGGAGUACAGGAGGGGCAGGCGGAAUUCCUGGUGUAGCGGUGAAAUGCGUAGAUAUCAGGAGGAACACCGGCGACGAAGGCGGCCUGCUGGACUGAAACUGACGUUGAGGCUCGAAAGCGUGGGGAGCAAACAGGAUUAGAUACCCUUGUAGUC